ACUCCUACGGGAGGCAGCAGUGGGGAAUAUUGCACAAUGGGGGAAACCCUGAUGCAGCCAUGCCGCGUGUGUGAAGAAGGCCUUGGGUUGUAAAGCACUUUCAGUAGGGAGGAAGGUAGUGUAGUUAACACCUGCAUUAUUUGACGUUACCUACAGAAGAAGCACCGGCUAACUCCGUGCCAGCAGCCGUGGUAAUACGGAGGGUGCGAGCGUUAAUCGGAAUUACUGGGCGUAAAGCGCAUGCAGGCGGCCUGUUAAGUCAGAUGUGAAAGCCCGGGGUCUUAACCUCGGAAUUGCAUUUGAAACUGGCAGGCUAGAGUCUGUAGAGGGGUAGAAUUUCAGGUGUAGCGGUGAAAUGCGUAGAGAUCUGAAGGAAUACCAGUGGCGAAGGCGGCCCCUAGGACAAAGACUGACGCUCAGAUGCGAAAGCGUGGGAGCAAACAGGAUUAGACUACCCGUGGUAGGAUAGCG
This 471-nucleotide ribosomal RNA is filed under the name uncultured bacterium. Its description in RNAcentral is "bacterial SSU rRNA". It matches the Rfam family "Bacterial small subunit ribosomal RNA", at positions 335 to 799 of the family's 1533-position model. The record is from RNAcentral.